AUGGAAAUGGAAAUGGGGAUGGACUCUCUUUGGCCUCACCAUCAACACCCUCCUCCUCUUCCUCCUUCCUCAGAAGUACCAGAUGCCUUCUCCUCCUACUACUAUUACCCUCCGUUGGCCGCGGCCGCAGCCGCGGCCGCUACGACGGACAACCCAACGCCUCCGGCAGUUUCAAGGUCAAGGGCGUCAAGAUCUAGGGCCGCGGCGAGGAAAGACAGACACAGCAAGAUAUGCACGGCCGGUGGGAUGAGGGACCGGCGGAUGCGGCUGUCCCUGGACGUGGCCCGGCGCUUCUUCGCCCUCCAGGACAAGCUGGGCUUCGACAAGGCCAGCAAGACGGUGCAGUGGCUCCUCGACAGGUCCACCGCCGGCAUCAACCACCUCGCCGCCUCCAUGUCCGCCUCCAUGUCCUUGUCGGAGGAGGACGUGGACGGGUCUGUUCUCCUGGACCUGGACAACAACGACCACGCCAUGGCCAUGGCGGCCGAUGCUGAAACAAACAAGCAGCAGGAGCAGGAGCAUCAGACGGCCAAGGCAAAAAGAAGAUCAGCUCCUGCUGUUCCAAGUCCAAGGAAGAAGAGCAGCAAUGGCAGCGCCCCUGUUCUCCUCCCAGACAAGGCGUCCAGGGCAAGGGCCAGGGAGAGGGCCAGAGAGAGGACCAAGGAGAGGAACCGCCUCCGGUCGGAGGCUCCGGCACCGGCGCCGGCGAGGCAGCCAGUGGUUCCGGCAGUAACCUGCAGCAACAACUACUACGAGGAGGGGGAGCAAGAGCCAUGGGAGCUGGGAGGAGUUGUCUUUGCCAAACCACGCAUCCAGUACUGA
This 822-nucleotide ribosomal RNA is filed under the name Triticum aestivum (bread wheat). Its description in RNAcentral is "partial small subunit ribosomal RNA". The record is from RNAcentral. Lineage: Eukaryota; Viridiplantae; Streptophyta; Magnoliopsida; Poales; Poaceae.